GAUGUUAGAGAGAUUGGGUUCCACCUCGGAGACCGGCAAGCAAGAUGUUUCGCUGGCAGGAGCCAAGAAGUUCCUGGGAGGAGGGUGUGUGGAUGAGAGCUAUUCUGAGGAUUGAUCUGUGUAGCCUUAAUGUUUCUGGGAACAUAAUAGACUGUAACACUAUGUGGAUGGCAAGCAGCUGGGCAUUUGACAAGUUUAUGGUUCUGUUUAGACCAGAAAGUCUGAAAUAAAUUCUGAAUGCUAGAGAGGAUCUUACACUUUAUGUCUGUGACUAAAUGCCCUUCACCUCUUUUAGGGGGCCCUUCAGAGGUCUGUGUAAAUGUGGUAAAAUGAAAUUGGGUUGUUUUCAUUCCAGGAAUCUGGUGUGGCUAAUAAAGCAUGGAUUUCCUAGGUGACAGAGAAACGAGUGCCCUGGACUAAUGUGAGUACAGAGACCUACCUAACCGAAAAGUACUUUCUUUCCCCCCCUUCUGCCAAUGAUACUUGGACGGCGUGACAUUUUUAUCCCAUUUUAGCGCAGGUCACUGCUGUUCAUUGCUGUUGCAGAAAUAAUCAUUGUGCAUGCCUAACCUACCCUUCCAUUAUUUUUCUUCUUGUGCUGCUUUAAUAAGGUAGAUCAGGGGUGAGGAAUCUUUAGACUACAACUCUCAUGACCUCUAGGCCAUUGACCAUGAUGAUUGGGAAGUUGGAGAUGUAACUCCCAGUGUGGUCCAGUUUCCUUAACCCAGAUUUAAACCAAAAGUCUUUUAAUCAUCUUUGAGAGAUUUAGUUGCUGAGAAAAAAAAAAAUGUGCCUCUAUCAAUGUCAGGGACUGGGCAGAGGAGGAAUUUUGGAGACCACCUCUCCAUCCUGACCCUUCCAGGGAGGAGGAAGAGGAAGACAGUAUAGAUUUACAACAGUGGUUUGAGGGAGGAAGCGUCUCAGAGGCAGAUGAGGGGAAAAGCUGGGAAAUCAUGGGAGAGCCAGAGCAACACCCAGCUGACACAUCGUCAUUAGAAAGCAUUCCAGACCCUCCAUCUCCCAGAAGCCAGCGAGCCUUAAAAGUAGGAGAGCAAAGAGCUCAAAGACAGAGGGCAUGUAGCAGCAUCCGUAGAAGAGAUGGUGAGAAUGAGGAAGUGGGAGAAACGGGGAGUAGACCUUCCCCUGGGACAACGCCAUUAUCCAAGAGUCUGGGCUCUAUAACCUCUGUAAGGAUUGAAAUAAAAAAGGAUGCUAAGAAACUUUUUCUUUUCUUUAUACGUUCCUGGGCAACCAGCUGGGAGCCGCUGACAGCAUCCUGACAAUCAAUGAUGUUACAAUAGGGGUAGAAUUUGGUGGGUAAUGGUUAAUCAGUGUGUAUGCAUAGAACUACCUAUGAAUUUUUAGGAUUCUCUGGACAUUUUGUGGUCCAGAUAAAAUGCGAUUUGGACCCUCCUGUCCAUUUUACUCUAAUUUAAUAUUUUUACUAUACAGAAACCUCUUAUGCUUUAAAGUGGCCGUGUUUAAUUCCACAAUCUUUCUGCAGCAUAAAUAUACUUGCUUUAAAUUCCUAGGGUAUUAGUAUGCAUUUAUUAUUACGGCAUUUAAAACACUUCCCAACAAUCUUUAAUGAGGCAGCCAAACAAACUGCUGUGUAAUCUGUUAAUGUCGGCAUUUACAAUGUAAUUAAGAUUAAGUGUUUUGAAAAUGAAUAUCUUAUAGUUUUAUGCCUAAUAACUGCUGAUUACUGCAAAACACUUUAAAGCUGUAAUAGCUAAACAGAAUAAUUAAAAUCAUGAAAUGAGCUCUGAGUCUCUAUGGUAAGUAGAUGAAAUUAUACCUUUUCAAGUUGUCUAUUGCUCUGGGAUGUCUUCUGAUGCUGCAAGACUUCAGCAUCAUAGAUAUUCAUAUUUUGAAAAGAAUUUAUCAUGAGUGGCCUGAUGGUUUCUAAAUGCAGGAUGCUAUGAAUAUAUUUUUGCAAUAUCUCUGGGUUUUACCUUUAAUCCCACACAACUUUUCUACUCUUAACAGUCCAUUUGUAUUUUAUAAAUACUAAAAAUCUAAAUCCAUCACAAAACCUCCAGCCCGCAGACUGGCCUUGCAGGUCGUUCUAAUUUUGUCCUUGGGACUCUCUCGAGACCAUUCCCCCAUUCCAGCUCUGUUCAUAGCUGUCAACUUUCCCCUUUUCUUGCGAGGAAUCCUAUUCGGAAUAAGGGAAUUUCCCUUAUAAAAGGGAAACGUUGACAGCUAUGGCUCGGUUCCAUGCCCUCCCUACAUGCUUUCCCUGGCUGGAUUGUGUCCUUGAACUGUAAGGAUGACUUUGAGGAUGAUUCAGACAUUUUAGCUAGUGCAGAAUUUAGUGCCCAGGUUUGAGCAUAUUACACCAAUCCCAGCCCGACUGCAUUGGCUGCCAAUUAGUUUCCAGGGCCAAUCCAAAGUGCUGGCUUUGACCUAUAAAGCCUUAAAUGGCUCACGACCGCAAUACCUCAAGGACCGCCUCUUUCCAUAUGAACCUACUGGAAAUCGUCCCUACGAGAGAAGAAUGGCAGAUUAAAUUGAUGGACUAUGCCUAAAUGGCAAAAAUGACCAGAAGAAUCAGAAAUCAGGAAGACCAAGACUUUAAAAAGGAAUGGGGGAAAUUUACAAUUUAUCUUUAAAACCAUUUUAACCAGUUAAAAUUGUUACUGGGAUUGGAAUAACACUUGUAAUGAUGAACUAUGGACAUAAUGGAGAUAAAAAGAUUUGGAUCAAUAUUAAAGAUGCAGAAGGAAAGGAGUAACAAUAAGACCCACCAAGGGGAGGAGGGAAGACCAGGAGAUUCUUUAGAAUCUUGCUUUUAUAUAUUAUGUUAUUAUGUGAAUGUGAAUAUUUAUUUGGAAAAUUAAAUAAAUAGAUUUACAAGAAAAGAGAACCUACACGAAACCCUGAGAUCAUCUUCUGAGGCCCUUCUUUAUGUGCAUCCUCCAUGAAAUUUCUGGAAGGUGGCAAUAUGAGAAUAGGCCUUUUCUGCAGUGGCUCCCUCCUUCUGGAAAGUUCUCCAGAAGGAGGUUUGGCAGGCACCUUCAUUAUACACCUUUAGGCGCCAGAUGAAAAUGUUCCUCUUCAUUUGGCCUUUGUUUGAUUGAGAUCUGAUGCCUUGUUAAAUGUGUUGUGGGAUGAGGAAAUAUUGGUUUGUUUUUGUUCUUAUUUUUAUUACGCUAUAGAUUCUGCUAGCUGAAUCUAUAUGAAUAAGAAGCUUUCUAAAAUAUAUAUAUAUGAAAUGACAUAGUGAAGCAAAUUUACCAUAAACAGAGCUGAAUUUAAAAAGCUGAUUAUGAAAAAGAGACUAAUAAUAACAGCCUAACAACAGCAACAAUACAAAGAUUCUAAAAUUAAAAACAGAACAUAGCUCAUUUAUUCAGAAUUUCCAAAUACGUUAACUUUCGUAUUAUGCAUGCAGUUAAUGUCACCACAGCCAAUAUUUAUGUUUUGACGUUUCCAUUUGCAUAGUGUGACUACGCACUUGCAGUUCAAUUAGAAUAAUGGCUCUCGAGAAUGAUUAAAAAAACUAAACCAAAAACACACAAACACCACCCUCCAUUAUUUAUUGGACUCUAAAUUGGCCACAUGGUAGCCCUCGUUUAUAUCAGGCUAAUGAACUGUACCAAAUAGCAUGCAAUUUGAAUGCCUUUGGGAAGGAGGAAGCAAAACAGCAGGGAGAUAAAAGAGGAAAGGAACUGCAAAAAACCUCUUGAACUACAGUAUGGCUUUACACCAAAGGAAAAUUAUACACCAGGCCUUCAUUGAAUAGUGUGGAGGGGGGAAUCAGAAGUGUAUAAAAACUUGACAGCUAGGUAUCUUAGAGGACAGAGGGAACAUAUGCUAUGGGAGUGCCUCACAAUAACUGUAUUCAAUUG
Molecule: long non-coding RNA, 3854 nt
Filed under: Podarcis lilfordi (Lilford's wall lizard)
Lineage: Eukaryota; Metazoa; Chordata; Lepidosauria; Squamata; Lacertidae
Source: RNAcentral